GACGAACGCUGGCGGCGUGCCUAAUACAUGCAAGUAGAACGCACAGUUUAUACCGUAGCUUGCUACACCAUAGACUGUGAGUUGCGAACGGGUGAGUAACGCGUAGGUAACCUGCCUGGUAGCGGGGGAUAACUAUUGGAAACGAUAGCUAAUACCGCAUAAUAUUAAUUAUUGCAUGAUAAUUGAUUGAAAGAUGCAACUGCAUCACUACCAGAUGGACCUGCGUUGUAUUAGCUAGUAGGUGAGGUAACGGCUCACCUAGGCGACGAUACAUAGCCGACCUGAGAGGGUGAUCGGCCACACUGGGACUGAGACACGGCCCAGACUCCUACGGGAGGCAGCAGUAGGGAAUCUUCGGCAAUGGACGAAAGUCUGACCGAGCAACGCCGCGUGAGUGAAGAAGGUUGUCGGAUCGUAAAGCUCUGUUGUAAGAGAAGAAUGGGUGUGAGAGUGGAAAGUUCACACUGUGACGGUAUCUUACCAGAAAGGGACGGCUAACUACGUG
This 505-nucleotide ribosomal RNA is filed under the name uncultured bacterium. RNAcentral's name for it is "partial 16S ribosomal RNA". It matches the Rfam family "Bacterial small subunit ribosomal RNA", at positions 28 to 507 of the family's 1533-position model. The record is from RNAcentral.